This 72-nucleotide transfer RNA is filed under the name Camelus bactrianus (Bactrian camel). It matches the Rfam family "tRNA". From Rfam's summary of the family: Transfer RNA (tRNA) molecules are approximately 80 nucleotides in length. Their secondary structure includes four short double-helical elements and three loops (D, anti-codon, and T loops). Further hydrogen bonds mediate the characteristic L-shaped molecular structure. tRNAs have two regions of fundamental functional importance: the anti-codon, which is responsible for specific mRNA codon recognition, and the 3' end, to which the tRNAs corresponding amino acid is attached (by aminoacyl-tRNA synthetases). tRNAs cope with the degeneracy of the genetic code in two manners: having more than one tRNA (with a specific anti-codon) for a particular amino acid; and 'wobble' base-pairing, i.e. permitting non-standard base-pairing at the 3rd anti-codon position. The record is from Rfam by way of RNAcentral. Lineage: Eukaryota; Metazoa; Chordata; Mammalia; Artiodactyla; Camelidae. RNAcentral also lists the same sequence under 2 other names.
UGGGAUAGAGCUCAGGGGCAGAGCGCAUGCUUAGCAUGCAUGAGGUCCUGCGUUCAAUCCCCAGUACCUCCA